UACGUAGGGGGCGAGCGUUGUCCGGAAUUACUGGGCGUAAAGGGCGUGUAGGCGGCCUGUUAAGUCAGGGGUGAAACCCCGGGGCUCAACCCCGGGCCUGCCUCUGAGACUGGCGGGCUUGAGUGCUCCAGAGGGCAGCGGAAUUCCCGGUGUAGCAGUGAAAUGCGUAGAGAUCGGGAGGAACACCAGUGGCGAAGGCGGCUGCCUGGGGAGUAACUGACGCUGAGGCGCGAAAGCUAGGGGAGCAAACAGGAUUAGAUACCCUGGUAGUCCUAGCCGUAAACGAUGAGCGCUAUGUGUGGCGGGUAUCGACCCCUGCCGUGCAGUAGCAAACGCAUUAAGCGCUCCGCCUGGGGAGUACGGCCGCAAGGUUGAA
Molecule: ribosomal RNA, 376 nt
Filed under: uncultured bacterium
Lineage: Bacteria
Description: bacterial SSU rRNA
Rfam family: Bacterial small subunit ribosomal RNA
Source: RNAcentral